AACGCGAAGAACCUUACCCAGGCUCGAAAUGUAGGGGACAGCGCCGGAAACGGCGUCUUCCGCAAGGACCGCUAUAUAGGUGCUGCAUGGCUGUCGUCAGCUCGUGCCGUGAGGUGUUGGGUUAAGUCCCGCAACGAGCGCAACCCUUAUUGUUAGUUGCCAACGAUUCGGUCGGGAACUCUAACAAGACUGCCUGGGUUAACCAGGAGGAAGGUGAGGAUGACGUCAAGUCCGCAUGGCCUUUAUGUCUGGGGCUACACACGUGCUACAAUGGCAGGUACAGAAGGAAGCGAAGCCGCAAGGUCGAGCAAAUCCUAAAAAGCCUGUCUCAGUUCGGAUUGCAGUCUGCAACUCGGCUGCAUGAAGUUGGAAUUGCUAGUAAUGGCGGGUCAGCAACACCGCCGUGAAUACGUUCCCGGGCCUUGUA
RNAcentral lists this ribosomal RNA (427 nucleotides) under uncultured Chlamydiae bacterium. Its description in RNAcentral is "bacterial SSU rRNA". It matches the Rfam family "Bacterial small subunit ribosomal RNA", at positions 958 to 1385 of the family's 1533-position model. The record is from RNAcentral. Lineage: Bacteria; Pseudomonadati; Chlamydiota; Chlamydiia.